UAGGGAAUUUUGGGCAAUGGGCGAAAGCCUGACCCAGCAACGCCGCGUGUGGGAUGAAGGCUCUCGGGUCGUAAACCACUGUCAGGAGGGAAGAACAGCAGCGGGGGAAAUAUUCCCGUUGUUUGACGGUACCUCCAAAGGAAGUGCCGGCUAACUCCGUGCCAGCAGCCGCGGUAAUACGGAGGGCACAAGCGUUGUUCGGAAUCACUGGGCGUAAAGCGCGUGCAGGUGGUUCGGUCAGUCGGGUGUGAAAUCCCCGGGCUCAACCCGGGAACUGCAUCCGAAACUUCCGAACUCGAGUCCCGGAGAGGAAGGCAGAAUUCCCAAUGUAGGGGUGAAAUCCGUAGAUAUUGGGAGGAAUACCAGUUGCGAAGGCGGCCUUCUGGACGGUGACUGACACUCAGACGCGAAAGCGUGGGGAGCAAACAGGAUUAGAUACCCCCGUAGUCC
This 450-nucleotide ribosomal RNA is filed under the name uncultured prokaryote. RNAcentral's name for it is "bacterial SSU rRNA". It matches the Rfam family "Bacterial small subunit ribosomal RNA", at positions 355 to 796 of the family's 1533-position model. The record is from RNAcentral.